CCCCUAGAUGUUCUGGGCCGCACGCGCGCUACACUGAACAGUUCAACAAGUCUUAACCUUGGCCGAUAGGUCUGGGUAAUCUUUGAACGUGAAUCGUGAUGGGGAUAGAUGAUUGCAAUUAUUCAUCUUCAACGAGGAAUUCCUAGUAAACGCAAGUCAUCAGCUUGCAUUGAUUACGUCCCUGCCCUUUGUACACACCGCCCGUCGCACCUACCGAUUGAAUGGUCCGGUGAAAUCUUCGGAUCUGAGAGAUGUCUGAUUAAUUUCGGACGCCUUUUGGAAAAGUUGCUUAAACCUUACCAUUUAGAGGAAGGUGAAGUCGUANCA
Molecule: ribosomal RNA, 327 nt
Filed under: uncultured eukaryote
Lineage: Eukaryota
Description: partial 18S ribosomal RNA
Rfam family: Eukaryotic small subunit ribosomal RNA
Source: RNAcentral